AGGAUUUACAGAGCUUCUGAUUUCUUCCUAAUCUGAAUUAAUUUCUUCCUUAAUCUGAAAUUUGAAUUAUUCUUGGGCUCCCAUUCAUGAGCAUCACAUCCAAGUUAGCAAGUAUAAACAUUGGUUUUGAUGUGUUCAAUCUUUGCAAGUCAGUUAUAAUUACCUGGUGAAGAAAAAAAACAAUGGAGAAGUUGUACAUAAGCUUUUUAAGGGAAUGGAGAGGUCCAAGAAGAGAGAGAGAGGCAGGGGAAUGGCCAGUCAGUGGAGCAGUCAGAACACCUACAACAUUUAUGAUUAAGUUUGCCAUUUCAUAGCCAUGAUUCAUGGCACCCUAAAACAGUGACAAUAGUAACAUCACAGAUCACCCUAAGAAAAAUAAUCAUAAUGAAACAGUUUGAAAUAUUGUGAGAAUUACCAAAAUGUGACACAGAGUGAGCAAAGGCUGUUGAAAAAAUGGUCCUGAUAGACUCGUUCAGUUUAGAGUUGCCACAAAUUCUACAAUUGUAAGAAAUUCAG
Long non-coding RNA from Lutra lutra (Eurasian river otter), 516 nucleotides. RefSeq lists it as uncharacterized. NCBI's taxonomy places the organism in Eukaryota, Metazoa, Chordata, Mammalia, Carnivora, Mustelidae. The transcript is spliced from 3 exons. The record is from RefSeq and is a predicted model, not a curated record.